RNAcentral lists this ribosomal RNA (442 nucleotides) under uncultured bacterium. RNAcentral describes it as "partial 16S ribosomal RNA". It matches the Rfam family "Bacterial small subunit ribosomal RNA", at positions 338 to 795 of the family's 1533-position model. The record is from RNAcentral.
CCUACGGGAGGCUGCAGUGGGGAAUAUUGGGCAAUGGGCGCAAGCCUGACCCAGCAAUGCCGCGUGAAGGAAGAAGGCUUUCGGGUUGUAAACUUCUUUGACAGGGGAAGAGCAGAAGACGGUACCCUGAAAACAAGCCACGGCUAACUACGUGCCAGCAGCCGCGGUAAUACGUAGGUGGCAAGCGUUGUCCGGAUUUACUGGGUGUAAAGGGCGUGUAGCCGGGAAGGCAAGUCAGAUGUGAAAUCUGGAGGCUCAACCUCCAAAUUGCAUUUGAAACUGUUUUUCUUGAGUACUGGAGAGGCAGACGGAAUUCCUUGUGUAGCGGUGAAAUGCGUAGAUAUAAGGAGGAACACCAGUGGCGAAGGCGGUCUACUGGACUGUAACUGACGUUGAGGCUCGAAGGCGUGGGGAGCAAACAGGAUUAGAUACCCCGGUAGUC